ACUGACGCUGAACUGGAGAAGAAUUUGCAGAUGGCGAGGUGAACCCGGAAGAAGAUAGGGCUACCGAGUCACCUGAUUUCCUGCAAUUUCUGGUAAUUACACCCAUAUUUGUUGAUUUAUUCUUUUUUUUUUGUGAAGAUUUAUUUUGCUGAUUUUAGGAUGACUGAUUUCAGGAGGGACUAAUGAUUCGUAUCAGGGGUAACUAUGACUGUUGCAGUUCCUCCUUCGAUGCCGAGUCUGCAACCCCGAUGA
This 252-nucleotide long non-coding RNA is filed under the name Salvia miltiorrhiza (redroot sage). RNAcentral describes it as "long non-coding RNA (SMIL_LNC010310)". Lineage: Eukaryota; Viridiplantae; Streptophyta; Magnoliopsida; Lamiales; Lamiaceae. The record is from RNAcentral.